RNAcentral lists this long non-coding RNA (1371 nucleotides) under Coffea arabica (coffee). RNAcentral describes it as "long non-coding RNA (CARA_LNC002322)". Lineage: Eukaryota; Viridiplantae; Streptophyta; Magnoliopsida; Gentianales; Rubiaceae. The record is from RNAcentral.
CUGGCUACAAGUUCAGGUUGACUUAGUCCAUUGAACCCAAUGCUUUGUCCUGCUGGUCCAUAGUUGUAGUUCCAUGAUAUUUGUAGUGGACCGCGGCCGUAAUACCCCUUGCCUGGCACACAUGGAUACUGAGUGUUGCUCUUGUCACAGUAGUUUCUGGACGGGCCGUUUAUCUCUUCUAUAUAGCACAGAUCUGCAUGAUAUAGAGAAGUCGCAUUAGUUACCAUUCUGUCGAAUUGAUAAAAAGAAAAAAUGCAUGUUUGGUAAGACAAGGAUUGUCGGAUGAUAUGAUAAUGAAAAAUGUAGAAAACAAAUUUUAUGAGUUCUAAUAACAAUUAAUUGCAAAAUUAUAGAAUUGAAAGGAUUUAAGAAUCACAAACAAAUAUAUUUAUGUGGACGAAAAGAGAAUAAAUAACUUAACUCAAAACGUCAUUAACAUUUUAAACAAAGAAGAAAGUCUUACCGAAAUAAAAAUUUAAUAAAUUUUCUAUAGACUAUUUUAGGCUUUCCUAAAUUUUUAGAAAAUACUCCACCUAAUACUCUAUUGAUAAUUUAUCAGAAUCGUUGAAUAAGAAACAACACGAUUAAUUAUGAAAUAAAACCCCAAUUACUAAUUAAUAAAAUUACUAGAACUUGGCUUCAAUAAAACUAAUGCUAAUUAAAUAGAAAAUUUUUGAAGCUUGGUUUAUUUUGCCAGAAAAAGAAAAAGAAAAGAAGAGCCAUCAAUAUUUUUGAAUGAACCACAAGUGAUUUAAAAUUUACAAAGUUGUAAGUAAUGAUUUAAAAUUUACAAAGUUGUAAGUAAUCACAUGCUUACUAAAUUAUAAAGUUGACUACUACAACAAAGUAAAAAGAACGGAAAGUAAUAAUUUCUCUAUCCAAUUAUAAGUGGCACCCAUAUUCAUGAUGAAUUAUUACAAUAAUAAGUAUUUCUUGUUAAAGUUUUAGUUUUUGAAGAAAGUUCUUGGAUAAUAUUGCAAAGAAAAAUAUUCAAAACUUAGGUAGAUCCGGUUUUCAAAAAUCCAAUAGAUCAAAGUGUGCUAUACUAUCUCACUAAGUGGUUUGACACAAUUUAGACUAUUGAAUUUUUGAACAUGGGACUUACCCAAGUGUCAGUCCAGAAAAAUAAUCUAUAUAUUACUGUACCAACAUUUAGAAAAGUUCCUAAAAAUAUUUUAUAGAAAGUUCCAAAGUAAUUCUCUUUUGGUAGAGUUGUUGACAACACUUACGUCCAGUCUCAUGAGUGACAUGAGCAAAGAAAGCAGCAACCUCCCUUUUAGAAUCAGCAGCAGAACCAGCAGUUCCAAACUUAGAAUACGACUUCUGAGCUUGAAGAAAUGCCGAUCGAGUAUAGAACCCUUUUCCAGCACA